Long non-coding RNA from Papaver somniferum (opium poppy), 1816 nucleotides. RefSeq lists it as uncharacterized. The record is from RefSeq and is a predicted model, not a curated record. NCBI's taxonomy places the organism in Eukaryota, Viridiplantae, Streptophyta, Magnoliopsida, Ranunculales, Papaveraceae. The transcript is spliced from 3 exons.
CUUUCUUCCUCGUUAUAUCUUCUUUCUUCUUCUCUCUUCUUUCUUCCCCUGUUCUUCUUUUUCUGCGAUUAUUUGAGAGAAUCAUAUGUUGAAGCUAUCUAAUAGAUGAUGAAGGUGGUGCGACUGUAAUCUAUGGAAAAGAUCAAUUGAAGAUACAUUUAUUUUCGAGAUAAACUGAGAAGAACGAGAUUAGGGUUUGAUGUUCCUUGGAGAUUAAGUGAGGUUGAUGACAGAAUCGAUCGACUGGUGAUGGGUUUUGUUUAUUUAAGACAUGGGAUAAGAAUUAGUUGUUGAUUCAGUCAAUUAUGCAAACUCAGGAAAAAGAAAUAAAAUGUAAAUUAGAGUUUUGAGAUUGAUGUCAUAGGAUGCUGAUAUGAGAUGGGUUUUAUGCGAAUUAUAGUAUUGAGUGAAGCAGGGUUGUGCUAGCAGUGAAUAUUAAUUCAAUUGAAGAAUUAGGGUUUCUAAAGUGGGUGAAUAGAAAAAUCAAAGAACCGAUGAUGGGUAAGCUUAGUUGGAGGUUAUGGUGAAUUUGAGAUGAAGAAGAACAAGAAUUGAAAGAUGAUACUGGGAGUUAAGGUUAGGGUUUCAUAAGAAGGAACUCAGUGAAGCAAUUCAGAGGAUGUACAGCCUAAGUAAGUUGCUAAAUUGCUUUAAUUGUGAUAUUAUAAGAAUAAUUGGUUAAAUUGUUGAGUUAAUAUGUUGUAGAAUGAAAUUGAGCUUUAGAUGAAGGGUAUAUGUGUUGUUGUGAGAUUGAAUGUGACUCUGAAAUGAAGUAUGGGGAUAUCGAUGUUGUUUUGUGGCUGUUGUGAUGUUAUUGUAUGCAGGGAUGACAUUGGAGGUAUGCUGGAGUGGUAAUGACAGUCUAAAGGGGGGUAGUAGCUAGAUAUGAUGUUGUUUGUGUAUCUGUGGCUACUUAUGUUGAGAGUUGAGUUAUUUGUGAGUUGUAUUAGUUCUGAUUGAAUUAAGAGAUGGCCUAGUGGUGUUGGUGGUAUGAACUAAGAGGUGCAGGGAUUGUUGAAGUUGUAACUGAGAUUAAUGGAUCGGGUAUGAUCACAACUGAAAUUCAAGAAAAGAAAUGAAGUAAAGCUUUAGAUGAAUGUUAUGAGAUUUCAGGUAUUCAGAAUUGUUGGUGUUAUCGAAAUGGUAGCUCUGAGUUGGUUAAAAUGGAUGUGGUAAUUGUUUGAAUGUGCAGAAGUGGUAAUGUUGUUAGUAUUCCUAUUGACAGAGAUUGCAGGGGAUGUAAAUAUUAACUGAGUUUGUGUUGAGCAGAGUUGGUGCUGUAGAUUAGUAGUGAUGACUUGGAAAGGUUAAUGAAUGUGGAUGACUGUUAGUUUGUGAACAAUAGAGAUUAGGUAAAGUGAUGUUAUUUUAAUGAUGCUGGUGGUGCUGUGAUAGAGAUGCAGGUGAAUUGGGGUGUGAGAAGACAAUGACAAUAUAGUAGAGAGUGUGGAUGUAGUUGUUAUUGCAGAAUUGGUGUUGGAGGUGGAACUAUUAGCGGCACUGUGAUUGUAAGUUGUGGUGGUAAGUAUGAAUGUAAGAACUGUUGUUUGUGUGUAUUGAGAAGAAUUAGAGGAGCAAGGAUGUUUUAAUGUUGGUGGUGAUGCAAAUGAGAUGUAUGAGCUGUAUAGGUUAGUUCUGGCAGUGAUGUUUGAUAGAAGUAAUAGUGUUGAAUAGAGUUCAGCUGAAGUAGUCUACAAAGUGGCUGCAACUGUUGAAUUGUGUGUAGGAAGAGUAUGGCUUAGCACUGUAUUUGCAGUGGAUCGUGGAUCUCGAGGUAGGCGUGGCUUGUCAUCAAAAGAGAGACAGAUCAGAGUUG